UACGUAGGGUGCAAGCGUUAAUCGGAAUUACUGGGCGUAAAGCGUGCGCAGGCGGCUUUGCAAGACAGAUGUGAAAUCCCCGGGCUCAACCUGGGAAUUGCGAUGGUGACUGCAAGGCUAGAGUUUGGCAGAGGGGGGUAGAAUUCCACGUGUAGCAGUGAAAUGCGUAGAGAUGUGGAGGAACACCGAUGGCGAAGGCAGCCCCCUGGGUCAAAACUGACGCUCAUGCACGAAAGCGUGGGGAGCAAACAGG
RNAcentral lists this ribosomal RNA (253 nucleotides) under uncultured bacterium. RNAcentral describes it as "partial 16S ribosomal RNA". It matches the Rfam family "Bacterial small subunit ribosomal RNA", at positions 524 to 776 of the family's 1533-position model. The record is from RNAcentral.